GGAAGGAUCAUUCUCGAAAAGAAAAGCAGGUUGCGCAGAGAUGUGCAGCGAUGUUUUGUAACUGGUGAAGCGGAUAGAGACACACUCAUUCACAUUCAACAUGAACAACAAUUGAAUCAAAACAACUUACUUACAACUUUCAGCAACGGAUGUCUUGGGUCUGGUAACGAUGAAGAACGCAGCGAAAUGCGAUACGUCACGCGAUACGCAGAAUCAGUGAAUCAUCAAAACUUCGAACGCAUAUUGCACUUCUAAUCUCUGAUUGGGAGUAUUUUUGUUUCAGUGUGUUUUACCAACACUUGCUGCUUGCAGCAGUCUCUCGGUGUUUCUGUUAUUCUAGAUAUUCUAGAGUAUCACCGGAAAACGAAUUAUCUCUCUCUAUGCAUGCUUGCUUGCUUGUCAAAGAUGAAAGCCAUUUUAGACGCGCUUCGCAUGCUUAGAAGUAUUGGAGUAUCAAUCAAUCAUCAAUACAACACCUGAAAUCAAAAAAGAAAACCCGCUGAAUUUAAGCAUAUAAUUAAGCGGAGGAAAAGAAACUAACAAGGAUUUCCAUAGUAACUGCGAGUGAAGUGGAAAGAGCUCACACUUAAAAUCUUUUGCGCGCAUCAAGUGUAAGAGAAUUGUAGUCUAGAGAAUGCAAGGCCAGUGCUUCUUGCGAAUAAAGUUAUCCUGGAAAGGUACUGCCAUUGAAGGUGAAAGCCCUGUUCAAUGUUUGCAAGCGUAACGAGUACGUACGGCGUGUGUUCGACGAGUCGGUUUGCUUGGGAGUGCAGACCAAAGUGGGAGGUAAAAUCCUUCUAAAGCUAAAUAUUGACCAGAAACCGAUAGCGAACAAGUACCGUGAGGGAAAGAUGAAAAGAACUUUGAAAAAAGAGUGAAAAGUACCUGAAAUUGCUGAAAGGGAAGACGUUGAUCUUUGUGUUUGUCGCAGUAAAGUUUGGUAUUAUGCAUGCAUGGUAUUGCGCUUUAUGGACAAAGUUUAUAUGGUUUCUUCCUGGAACAUAUGGUUUGCGGGUAGGUAGGUUGUUAGCUCAACUGUUUAACCCGCGAAAUUCUGUUCUGGGAGGGAGCGAGGUGAUUUUCUUCUUUAUGCAUUUAAGCCUUGAUUGGCAUUCGCAUAGACAUGGAUAUAAACGAAAAAGGAUUAACGGCCCCGUCUUGAAACACGGACCAAGGAGUCUAGCAUAUGCGCGAGUAUUUGAGUGGAAAACUCUUAUGCGUAAUGAAAGUAAAGUGCUUUUUAAAAGGCAUGAGGUGGGAGCACGGAAUUAACGUGUGCACCAUUGACCGAUCAUGAGCCUCGGCGAAAGAUUUGAGUUAGAGCGCAGAUGCUGGGACCCGAAAGAUGGUGAACUAUGCCUGAAUAGGUUGAAGUCAGACGAAAGUCUGAUGGAGGACCGUAGCGUUUGUGACGUGCAAAUCCAUCGUCAAAUUUGGGUAUAGGGGCGAAAGACUAAUCGAAUCAUCUAGUAGCUGGUUCCCUC
RNAcentral lists this unclassified non-coding RNA (1484 nucleotides) under uncultured fungus. Its description in RNAcentral is "sequence contains 18S rRNA gene, ITS1, 5.8S rRNA gene, ITS2, 28S rRNA gene". The stretch from base 473 to 1484 matches the Rfam family "Eukaryotic large subunit ribosomal RNA", at positions 1 to 961 of the family's 3401-position model. Lineage: Eukaryota; Fungi. The record is from RNAcentral.